AAUGAACGCUGGCGGCAUGCCUUAUACAUGCAAGUCGAGCGACCGCAUGACCUGCCUGCCCCUCUUAAGGUCGAGGGGCAAACGUGAGUGUCAUGUAGCUGAACUUGCCUUUUGGCUGGGGUAAACUUAGCGAAAGUUACGCUAUUACCGCAUAUUCUCUGAGGCGGAAAGCUCAAUACCUUCAGGCCGUUUGGUAGACGCUCAUCCGUUGACCCGCGCCGCAUUAGCUAGUUGGAAAGGUCACGGCUUACCAAGGCAACGAUGCGUAGCCGAUCUGAGAGGGUGAUCGGCCACACUGGAACUGAGACACGGCCCAGACUCCUACGGGAGGCAGCAGUAGGGAAUCUUCCGCAAUGGGCGAAAGCCUGACGGAGCAACGCCGCGUGAGUGAUGAAGGUCUUCGGAUCGUAAAGCUCUUUUAGUAGGGAAGAAAACAUGUGUAAGUAACUAUGCACGUCAUGACGGUACCUAAACAGAAAGCCACGGCUAACUACGUG
Molecule: ribosomal RNA, 497 nt
Filed under: uncultured bacterium
Lineage: Bacteria
Description: partial 16S ribosomal RNA
Rfam family: Bacterial small subunit ribosomal RNA
Source: RNAcentral